UCCAAAAGAAGCACUCUCCUAACAACAACAGAAGCAUCCACUUAAACAAGAUAAUAAUACAGAAAAAAAUUGACAGUAUUAACAAUUAAUAAUGACAAUACCAUAGGAAGCACGAAACUAAAAGAGAAUAAAGAACUUCACAUGCGAGGAAGGAGCUCACGAACUGAACCAAUUUUGCAGAAAAUAGAGAGAGAGAGAGAGAGGCAGGAGGCUCACGAGUCACGGACUCACAGAGUCUGUUGUCACAAACACGGUGCAGUGGGCCAGUGCCAGAG
This 275-nucleotide long non-coding RNA is filed under the name Olea europaea (common olive). RNAcentral describes it as "long non-coding RNA (OEUR_LNC003451)". Lineage: Eukaryota; Viridiplantae; Streptophyta; Magnoliopsida; Lamiales; Oleaceae. The record is from RNAcentral.